GUUUUACAAAUCUGCCAUUUCCUUCCCUUGCCCGUGGAAGAUGGGUUAUGGUGUGGUAGAGAAUGGUGCUGUCACACAGCUGGGUGAAGCUGAGGGGCUGCCCUGUUGUGCGUUGAUAUGAAAAAGCCAUUUUGCAGGAAGGCAGAAAUAGAGACUAGGAGGCCAACUCAAAGAUACUGAUUUUUUGGGGUGGUUUUGUGCUCUUUCUUCAUUCUCCCAGGUGUCUUAUUAAAAAUGCAUUAAAAUGAGACAAUUACCCGCUACUGAUAAUUUACACUGCUGCUGCAUCAAAGUACUUUGAAGUACUUGCUAAAUAACAGCUGAGUAAUUGGUACCCAUCUCUGCUGUCUGCCACAAAACCAUGGACAAAGUUUUCUUCUGGUUGGCUGUAGUACGUGUACCCUGAUAAUCAAAUAAGAAAAGGCAAAAAUAAUAUCUACUCCACAAAACCAUGGUCCGAAGGUUGCAGCUUCUUCCACAGAAGACCUUCAGAAAACAACAUGGAAAUUGCAGAGGGGCACAGAUGCAAAAGCUUAGAAGUCAUACGCUCAACAACUUAGCACCACGUGGUAGAAAAUGAGUCAAUGAGAGACAGGUGAAAACUACUGAUCUGCAGAACCGUGAGGAAGAGAAGACCUUCUUACUCCUGCUGAAAGGUCCAAGAGGCAUAAGAAAAACAAGGAUGUUGUCAAUAAGGUAAGCUUGCUCGUCUACUUGUAUGCUCACUCAAGAGUUCACAAACUGGAAGAAUUCCCAGUUUAGGGUGAAUGUUUUCCAGUGUCUAUCCUGUAAGAAGGACUAAACUAUGUCAUCCAUGUAAUAACUUUGAAGCUAUUUAUGUGUUGGUUUUAGAUGGAGAUUAGGAAGCCUGACUGAGAGCUUGUAGUUAUAAUGGG
Molecule: long non-coding RNA, 896 nt
Filed under: Anser brachyrhynchus (Pink-footed goose)
Lineage: Eukaryota; Metazoa; Chordata; Aves; Anseriformes; Anatidae
Description: lncRNA (ENSABRG00000003322.1)
Source: RNAcentral